Molecule: unclassified non-coding RNA, 203 nt
Filed under: Hevea brasiliensis (rubber tree)
Lineage: Eukaryota; Viridiplantae; Streptophyta; Magnoliopsida; Malpighiales; Euphorbiaceae
Source: RNAcentral
CUUGUAUCAUAGCAUGAUUCAGAUGUUGGGGAAGAACAAAUUUAUUGAAAUGGCUGAAGAAUUCUUUUCGAAACUAGAGAAGGAAGGUUUGAAGCCUGAUACAAGAACAUUUACUGAGAUGAUUGGGGCUUAUCUACGAGUGGAUAUGAUUGAUAAGGCAAUGGAAACAUAUGGCAGAAUGAAGGCUUCAGGUUGUACCCCAG